UGAAAUAUGGUGUAAUGGUAGCACGAUAGAUUUUGGUCCUAUCAGUCGGGGUUCGAAUCCCCGUAUUUCAA
Molecule: transfer RNA, 71 nt
Filed under: Caudoviricetes sp.
Lineage: Duplodnaviria; Heunggongvirae; Uroviricota; Caudoviricetes
Also listed under: 1 other name
Description: tRNA-Gln
Rfam family: tRNA
About the family: Transfer RNA (tRNA) molecules are approximately 80 nucleotides in length. Their secondary structure includes four short double-helical elements and three loops (D, anti-codon, and T loops).
Source: RNAcentral